GAUGAACGCUGGCGGUGUGCCUAAUACAUGCAAGUCGAACGGGAUCUUCGGAUCUAGUGGCGAACGGGUGAGUAACACGUUGGUACCUACCCCGAAGUGGGGAAUAACUGCCCGAAAGGGUGGCUAAUACCGCAUAAUACCGCAAGGUUAAAGCAGUAAUGCGCUUCGGGAGGGGCCUGCGUCCCAUUAGCUAGUUGGUAGGGUAAUGGCCUACCAAGGCGACGAUGGGUAGCUGGAUCGAGAGGUUGACCAGCCACACUGGGACUGAGAUACGGCCCAGACUCCUACGGGAGGCAGCAGUAAGGAAUCUUCCACAAUGGACGAAAGUCUGAUGGAGCAAC
Molecule: ribosomal RNA, 341 nt
Filed under: uncultured bacterium
Lineage: Bacteria
Description: bacterial SSU rRNA
Rfam family: Bacterial small subunit ribosomal RNA
Source: RNAcentral